Molecule: long non-coding RNA, 1058 nt
Filed under: Heterocephalus glaber (naked mole-rat)
Lineage: Eukaryota; Metazoa; Chordata; Mammalia; Rodentia; Bathyergidae
Description: lncRNA (ENSHGLG00000043079.1)
Source: RNAcentral
GCGAGGGCUCACCGAGACCGACGCCCGCACUCCCCCGCCCCCCCACGCUGGAGCGCCAGGGCAAGCGCUGGUCCUAAGGGUCCAUGCCCUCCGAACUCCGAGGGGGACAAAGGCUUUACAUGCCAGGGAAGGCUCUGUAGUGGGACGCGCUCCCCGAAAGCCUUGCUUCUCCGACCGGCCCAGCUUCCCAUCUGCCGCCACAUCCCCGCCAGGAGCGCCCUCCUCCGUGCCUGGCCGCCUGUCCAGCUCCUGUUCACCAAGCGCCCUUGAAACAGGGCCAGCCGAAUCGGAUUCCUCUCUCCUCCCAGGCCCAGCACAAUCAGUUUGUACCUUUCCCACGCACAGUGUGUGCCCUGUCUCCUAUUCUAGCUGUCUGUUUACUAGUCUUGUCCUAGCCAGAUUAGAAGGUCCUUGAGGCAGAAACAAAGUCUGCUGCUUCUUUGAGGCCUCUUCCCUGCCCCUCCAAUUCAUCUCACCCAGGCCGCGCCUGGCACCCGAGCUGAUGUUCAAUAAAUAUUGGGUGUAUUGAAAUGAUUUCCUGCCCUCUGGUAGUUGUCAGGCCAGUUGCAGAGACAAACACAGGGUGUGUGGGGUUAAAUAAUAACCGAAGCCAGCAGGUGGGGAGUAUCAAAUGUGGGUGACAAGGGCCGAGGAUUUAGCUCAGUGGUUCUGGCGCCUGCCUUGAAAGCACAAGGUCCCGAGUUUGAUCCCCGGUACCAAACAAACAAAAUAAUAAGUAUGCAAGUUCCCUGACUAUUGGCAUGGAAAAAUAAUUUUGGGGCCAGGGAUUUAGCUCAGUGGUUUCGCCGCCUGCUGCACAAGUACAAGAACCCGAGUUUGAUCCCCAGCACCACCCCCCCAAACUGUGGGUGACAGCUAUGGGGACUCAGAGGGAAGGAGGUGGUGAUUGGGGAGCAAGUUCCCAGGAGGUUCUAGGUCUUGAGCUGACUGUGUAGGAGGAUGGGGAGGGGCCGGGUGGAGGUGACUCAUGGGGGUUGACAUCACCACAAAACAGCCUUCCUGCUGGGUACUUUACAUGCAUUAUCUCUGAUAUUUGG